AGAGUAAAAGCAGAGGCGUCAAGUGCCGACGGGACGGGGAGUUGCCGGUCGGACGAAAGGCGGCCUGCCGCCGGGAACGGUGGGGGUCGGACUGCGGUCUUUGCUUUGCAUCCCGCU
This 117-nucleotide non-coding RNA is filed under the name pig gut metagenome. RNAcentral describes it as "THF riboswitch". It matches the Rfam family "THF (Tetrahydrofolate) riboswitch aptamer". From Rfam's summary of the family: THF riboswitch presents a pseudoknot that joins P1-P2 and the loop of P3 and two THF binding. The record is from RNAcentral.